Molecule: long non-coding RNA, 408 nt
Organism: Empidonax traillii (willow flycatcher)
Lineage: Eukaryota; Metazoa; Chordata; Aves; Passeriformes; Tyrannidae
Exons: 4
Source: RefSeq, a predicted model, not a curated record
AGGUGGUUCCAAGGACAACGUUCUGGUUUCAGUCUACCACAGCUCUCCCGUUCGGCCCAGGGUGAGGUGACCACCAGGCUCCCACAGCCAAAACAAUAAGCAGAGACCAAAAGGAAGUAAAACCUGGCUUUAUAUCACAUAAGGAGGGAUUGCAAAACUUUCCUAAAGACUUAUGUUGUGGGAAAAGGAAAACCCCUCAAAGGUACCUCCUGGUCAGAGCAGGACAUGAAGUGAUACAUUCACCCUUCCUCACAUUCCCUCUCUCCUGAAGGCCACAUUUAUCCACUUCCCCCUUUCUUGAGAGGAUGUGGGCUUAAAAGAAACUCUUGCGUGGAAGGGGAAGGUGACUCAAUAAGGGAGGAGAAGGAUCACAUGGUGGUAUUAAUGUCAUUACACACUCACCAAAGG